Molecule: long non-coding RNA, 1386 nt
Organism: Grammomys surdaster
Lineage: Eukaryota; Metazoa; Chordata; Mammalia; Rodentia; Muridae
Exons: 2
Source: RefSeq, a predicted model, not a curated record
AUAAUGUUUAGCAGUGGUCCCGGCUCCCCUGAGUCAGGGCCAGGAGUCUCUGGUGAUAAGCAAAUGGUCAGAUUGCUUCACUGAAAGACUAGACUUGAGAAGUAAGUGUGAAUGAGGGAGGUUCUGUCAGACUUGAGAUCUGAACUCCUCCCAUCUGCAAUAGCCUGGUGGAGCAUAAGGAAUUUUUGUUUUAAUUGAUGUGAAUGGAAUCUACCCACGGACUUGCUCUCCAGGCUUGCAUUUUUUUCCCACAAAGGCAGUAGUUACUAAGUGUCCAAAGGCAGUAGUUACUAACUAUCCAUUCUCCAGCAUCAUGCUAAGCAGCGGGGAAUCUAGCAAUGGGGAGAAAGCCCAGGUUCUGCCUGUGUGGACUUCACAGAGUGGAAUCUAUGGAGAAGCCAGAUGGAGGCAUGGAUGUUGGAUGCUGCGGAAGCCAGUGAGGAAGGAGCUGAGCCUACAGAUUCUGCAAAAGCAGCUGCAGGAUGUCGUGCUUCUUCCAGAAAGUGUUUGUACAGCACCCACAAUGUCACAGACAUGGCUCUGCAUGUGGAAACCAAACAGAGCCAUGGCAAAGCUCCAGGUAUGUGGAACCACAGCCCACUGGGAAGUUACUGCAAGCAACACCAGAGUCAUUACAAGAGGGGCAUCAGAGGUAAAGGUGUGGGUUACAGAAAUACAACAAGGUUGAAGAACGCUGCUCUUCCUGGCUGCUGGACCAGACCAAGAAGUAUUCAGAAUUUGGGCAGAGUGCUGACGGUUGAGAGGAAGUAUGUCUGAUCUGGGUUCUAUCAACUCAUACAAGGUCAUCUCCUCCCCAUGAUUUUGGGUGGCCAGGUUGUACUGGGGGCUGGGGCAGGUGGGGUCUGAGAACAAUCUCUCUGAUUCACGAAGAUUCAUGACCUUGGAUGUUUGACAUUGGAUAUGCCCCACCCUUUUCAUGUCCAGCUGUCCACAGUUAAUAUGCCCACACCCCAUUCUCAUAAAAAGCCUGACAGAAACGAAGAUAUUCCAACGAGACACUUGUGUCCCUCAAUCUAUCAGGCUAGUGACACAGCGGACCCCAAGACAUGGGAAUGUCUUCAAGAUUUCAAGCCGGGAGGAGGAAAGACUUCAGUUAGGUGAGACCUUGGCUCCUGCAAAGAAACCUCACACUCUUCAAACACUUAACAGAACACCAGCACGAGGUGGACUUCCAAACAAUGAUGGGUCUGUCCUGGGCAGGACUUCGUCUUCAUCAGCGUUGCGCAGAUGUGCAUAAGCCUGGUUCUCUCUUCAAUCUCUCUUCAGUUCCCCAAAGAUGGACUUACGGAGCUCACAGGACCUUUUCUUUGUUCCUCUUCCUAAUGUGAUCACAUUGAAUAAAUCUCCUCUUCCUGCCUUUUACUA